RNAcentral lists this ribosomal RNA (497 nucleotides) under uncultured bacterium. RNAcentral's name for it is "partial 16S ribosomal RNA". It matches the Rfam family "Bacterial small subunit ribosomal RNA", at positions 28 to 507 of the family's 1533-position model. The record is from RNAcentral.
GAUGAACGCUGGCGGCGUGCCUAAUACAUGCAAGUCGAGCGAACGGACGAGAAGCUUGCUUCUCUGAUGUUAGCGGCGGACGGGUGAGUAACACGUGGAUAACCUACCUAUAAGACUGGGAUAACUUCGGGAAACCGGAGCUAAUACCGGAUAAUAUUUUGAACCGCAUGGUUCAAAAGUGAAAGACGGUCUUGCUGUCACUUCUCGCUGCAUCCGCGCUGCAUUAGCUAGUUGGUAAGGUAACGGCUUACCAAGGCAACGAUGCAUAGCCGACCUGAGAGGGUGAUCGGCCACACUGGAACUGAGACACGGUCCAGACUCCUACGGGAGGCAGCAGUAGGGAAUCUGCCGCAAUGGGCGAAAGCCUGACGGAGCAACGCCGCGUGAGUGAUGAAGGUCUUCGGAUCGUAAAACUCUGUUAUUAGGGAAGAACAUAUGUGUAAGUAACUGUGCACAUCUUGACGGUACCUAAUCAGAAAGCCACGGCUAACUACGUG